This 205-nucleotide long non-coding RNA is filed under the name Lathyrus oleraceus (garden pea). RNAcentral describes it as "Pisum sativum (pea) long non-coding RNA (PSAT_LNC005406)". Lineage: Eukaryota; Viridiplantae; Streptophyta; Magnoliopsida; Fabales; Fabaceae. The record is from RNAcentral.
CUACUGAAUGUAUAGUAAGAGUUUGACCAUUUCCUACAUAGACUUUAUGGAACCUUACAUAAAGACUUUUUGUUAUAUAAAUGAAAUUCAUAAGGGGUUAAGUGGUGGGAAGCACUUGAGUCGGCGAACCAAGAUUGAGACUCUAACUAUGAAGGUAGAGAAUAUUACUGAGUGUAAGCAGAGGGUCGAUUUGUGGUAGCCAUUA